UACAGAGGUCUCAAGCGUUGUUCGGAUUCAUUGGGCGUAAAGGGUGCGUAGGCGGCGCGGUAAGUCGGGUGUGAAAUCUCGGAGCUUAACUCCGAAACUGCAUUCGAUACUGCCGUGCUUGAGGACUGGAGAGGAGACUGGAAUUUACGGUGUAGCGGUGAAAUGCGUAGAUAUCGUAAGGAAGACCAGUGGCGAAGGCGGGUCUCUGGACAGUUCCUGACGCUGAGGCAUGAAGGCCAGGGGAGCAAACGGG
This 253-nucleotide ribosomal RNA is filed under the name uncultured bacterium. Its description in RNAcentral is "partial 16S ribosomal RNA". It matches the Rfam family "Bacterial small subunit ribosomal RNA", at positions 524 to 776 of the family's 1533-position model. The record is from RNAcentral.